RNAcentral lists this ribosomal RNA (468 nucleotides) under uncultured bacterium. RNAcentral's name for it is "partial 16S ribosomal RNA". It matches the Rfam family "Bacterial small subunit ribosomal RNA", at positions 28 to 507 of the family's 1533-position model. The record is from RNAcentral.
GACGAACGCUGGCGGCGUGCUUAACACAUGCAAGUCGAACGGAAAGUCCCUGCUUUUGUGGGGUGCUCUAGUUGCGAACGGGUGAGUAACCCGUGAGUAACCUGCCCUUGACUUUGGGAUAACUUCAGGAAACUUGGUCUAAUACCGGAUAGGAGCUCCUGCUUCAUGGUGGGGGCUGGAAAGUUUCGGCGGUUGGUGAUGGACUCGCGGCGUAUCAGCUUGUUGGUGGGGUAGUGUCUUACCAAGGCUUUGCCGGGUAGCCGGGCUGAGAGGGUGACCGGCCAAAUUGGGACUGAGAUACGGCACAGACUACUACGGGAGGGAGCGGUGGGGAAUAGUGCAAAAGGGGAGGAAGCCUGAUGCAGCAAAGCCGCGUGGGGGAUGAGGGCCAUGGGGUUGGAAACCGAAUUCGCCUGUGACGAAGCGUGAGUGACGGUAAUGGGUAAAGAAGCACCGGCUAACUACGUG